UUUUGGGAGGCUGAAGCUGCCAGCAUGAUCUGUGUAUAGAUAGUGGUACCAGAUCAUCCUGCGGCUUCAUUCACUCAAAUCACCAACAAU
This 90-nucleotide microRNA precursor is filed under the name Brassica napus (rape). RNAcentral describes it as "miR167d stem-loop (bna-MIR167d)". Its record names the gene bna-MIR167d. It matches the Rfam family "MIR167 microRNA precursor family". Lineage: Eukaryota; Viridiplantae; Streptophyta; Magnoliopsida; Brassicales; Brassicaceae. The record is from miRBase by way of RNAcentral.